RNAcentral lists this ribosomal RNA (274 nucleotides) under uncultured bacterium. Its description in RNAcentral is "partial 16S ribosomal RNA". It matches the Rfam family "Bacterial small subunit ribosomal RNA", at positions 523 to 796 of the family's 1533-position model. The record is from RNAcentral.
AUACGGAGGGUGCAAGCGUUACUCGGAAUCACUGGGCGUAAAGCGCGCGCAGGCGGGCUGAUAAGUUGGAUGUGAAAGCCUACGGCUCAUCCGUAGAACUGCAUCCAAAACUGUCAGUCUAGAGUCUGAGAGGGGAAGAUGGAAUUAGUUGUGUAGGGGUAAAAUCCGUAGAGAUAACUAGGAAUACCAAAAGCGAAGGCGAUCUUCUGGAACACUACUGACGCUGAGGCGCGAAAGCGUGGGGAGCAAACGGAAUUAGAAACCCCAGUAGUCC